Molecule: ribosomal RNA, 253 nt
Filed under: uncultured bacterium
Lineage: Bacteria
Description: partial 16S ribosomal RNA
Rfam family: Bacterial small subunit ribosomal RNA
Source: RNAcentral
UACAGAGGGUGCAAACGUUGUUCGGAAUUACUGGGCGUAAAGCGCGUGUAGGCGGCUUUGCAAGUCGGGUGUGAAAGCCCUCAGCUCAACUGAGGAAGUGCGCCCGAAACUGCAGAGCUUGAGUACCGGAGAGGAUGGUGGAAUUCCCCAAGUAGAGGUGAAAUUCGUAGAUAUUGGAAGGAACGCCGGUGGCGAAAGCGGCACACUGGGUCUUAUCUGACGCUGAGACACGAAAGCCAGGGGAGCGAACGGG